CUUGCAUACCUAUAAGAGGUCCAGCCUGCCCAGUGACUCUGUUCAACGGCCGCGGUAUCCUAACCGUGCGAAGGUAGCGUAAUCACUUGUUCUUUAAAUGAGGACUAGUAUGAAUGGCAUCACGAAGGUUAUACUGUCUCCUCUUUCCAAUCAGUGAAACUAAUCUCCCCGUGAAGAAGCGGGGAUAACUUUAUAAGACGAGAAGACCCUAUGGAGCUUUAAACUAAGAAUCAACUGACUUUUCCACUUUUAAAUUCCAGAAAACUAACUUUUACCAAGACACUCUGAUUUCUAGUUUUAGGUUGGGGUGACCACGGAGUAAAAACUAACCUCCGCAAUGAACAGGGAUCUUCCCUUAACCAAGGACCACAACCCUAAGAAUCAACACAUUGACAUCAAUUGACCCAAAAAAUUUGAUCAAUGAAC
RNAcentral lists this ribosomal RNA (426 nucleotides) under Leptodactylus knudseni group sp. ABGD cluster 32. RNAcentral's name for it is "partial large subunit ribosomal RNA". It matches the Rfam family "Bacterial large subunit ribosomal RNA", at positions 1834 to 2457 of the family's 2925-position model. The record is from RNAcentral. Lineage: Eukaryota; Metazoa; Chordata; Amphibia; Anura; Leptodactylidae.